GACAAAGACUGACGCUCAGGUGCGAGAGCGUGGGGAGCAAACAGGAUUAGAUACCCUGGUAGUCCACGCUGUAAACGAUGUCGAUUUGGAGGUUGUUCCCUUGAAGAGUGGCUUCCGGAGCUAACGCGUUAAAUCGACCGCCUGGGGAGUACGGCCGCAAGGUUAAAACUCAAAUGAAUUGACGGGGGCCCGCACAAGCGGUGGAGCAUGUGGUUUAAUUCGAUGCAACGCGAAGAACCUUACCUACUCUUGACAUCCAGAGAAUUGAUCAGAGAUGCUUAAGUGCCUUCGGGAACUCUGAGACAGGUGCUGCAUGGCUGUCGUCAGCUCGUGUUGUGAAAUGUUGGGUUAAGUCCCGCAACGAGCGCAACCCUUAUCCUUUGUUGCCAGCUAUUCGUGCGGGAACUCAAAGGAAACUGGCGGUUAUAAACCGGAGGAACGGGGGGAUGACCUCAAGUCAUCAUGGGCCUUACGAAUAAGGGUUCCCACGUGCUACAAUGGGGUAUACAAAGAAAAUCGAUCUCCCGAGAACCAGCGGAACUCAUAAAGUACUUUCUAGGACGGAUUGGAAUCUGCCACUCUACUCCCUGAACUCGGAAUCGCUAAUAGAA
Molecule: ribosomal RNA, 611 nt
Filed under: bacterium
Lineage: Bacteria
Description: bacterial SSU rRNA
Rfam family: Bacterial small subunit ribosomal RNA
Source: RNAcentral